This 1966-nucleotide long non-coding RNA is filed under the name Gossypium barbadense (sea-island cotton). RNAcentral describes it as "long non-coding RNA (GBAR_LNC011600)". The record is from RNAcentral. Lineage: Eukaryota; Viridiplantae; Streptophyta; Magnoliopsida; Malvales; Malvaceae.
GUAGCUGUAGCCCUGGGCCACUCUGAAGCAGGACAGUUAGCGUUCCGUAAUCUGAGUGUGGUGGCAUACCUAAUGUGAGGUCUGGUUCAGGACAAGCUGGAUAGCAAUUAAUGGCCAUUAGUUGAUUGCCUUCUUCAAUUUCCUUCUGUAAGUUGCCAAAGUUCAAUCCUAAAGUUUCUAAGAUGGCUUCCAUCAGUUGCUUGUGUAGCACUUGUACUGCCUUUGCGUAGUUUCCCAUUUUAUCCCUUAGGGAAAAAAUAGUUUAAAGUCAAUGCAUCACAAUAGUUUGAGAAUGAUUGGAAAUGCAUAAAAAACGGAAACCAUGUGUUGCUUCAACAGAAAAGAAAAAAAGACAAAAGGAGAAGCUAUAAUUUGUCUUUUCUAUUUCCUCUUUUGUUGUUUCUUCCUUCUGGAAGAUUUGGAAGGCAUGCAUUAUAGUUCUUAGACCUAGAAGCUGCCAAUUUUAGCCACAUUUAAGACUUAUGCUUAUGAAGUACCAAUCAGAAUUGCUCCUCUUGUGUUGUUUCCAAUUUUGCCCUUAAGAUGGAAGGUAAUUGCUUCUAACAAAUAAUUUAAGAGAUCCAAGAUAAUGAUGGCUUGCUUACUUGUAACUUGGAGGAUUUGAAGGCCAUAGAUGGAUCCAAUCAGAAAUAGGGUGGGAGUAAUGCUUGAUGAAGUCUCUCCAAUAGUGAACUUUAUCGCUUGCAUGAUUCAAACUAGUACCAUACCUUACGGGGUUAUGCACAUUAUCUGAUAAUAGAGACAUUUUCUCCUCGAGAGACAAGUUGAAAAACUCUGUUGCAGCAGCAAGGGCGUCAUGGAUGACGGGGAGAGGGAUGCCAUGGUUAACCACCUAAAAAAAAAAUGUGCGUGCUUUUAUGUGGACAAUAUUAUAUUAGCAUGCAUGAAUUAUGAUGUCUUGCUAUUAUAUGUAAUAUAAAUUGUAUUGAAGCUUUUUCAGUAAGCAAGCAUCCCCCAUAUAUAUGUUGUGCUUUGUUGUCUGGGGUGUCAAGUAGAACAUAUAUGGUAUAACUGUAAAUUUUCAAUUUAAACUCAUACACCCACAUACAUAUUGUGUGAUUCAGUUGGAAUGCUAAACCGAUAAACACACAAAAUAACAUUCAUAACAUCUAUCUAAUAUAUGCUGAAAAAAAUACAGUUACACUAAUGUAGACUUGGGGCUACAGUAAACUAAACUUGCUAACCCUGAAUGAUACCUGAAAGAACCCAAGUUCCUUACAGGCGCCUUGUAUAGUAUCAAGUGUUAGAGACCUUUGAGAAGCGUGGUGUAAGGUGGAAAGGUCUAUAAUGGGAAGGGUUGUGGUGAGGUCAAGUGUAAGGUUCGGACGUUGCGAUGGAGGAAGAACAUAGCGUUGAGGCACAUGAGGUACCCUCAUCUUGGUAAGUGUCAUUACACUAGUAAAUAGGUUAUCCGAGCAUUCUCCCUCUCCUUCCAUACUUUGAAAUAUCUUUGCUAGUAAAUAGCGAAUGAUCAGUUUUAGCAGCCUGUUCUUCCUAUUUAUAUGCUAGACGUAACUAUCAGGUUAUGUACAGUUGCAAUGAAUAUUGAUAUGGAGCUGUGAUCUUAAACAUUAUAUGUUGCGUGUUCAUAAAUGCGCAGGAAAGAAGAAUAUAGCAAGAGAAGCCACAGAAGAACUUUAAGCAUGAGGGCGUGAAAAGGACAAAGGUGAACGCGGGACCCACGCGAAAACGCUAUGAUGUUAAACCUGAAUGGGUACCGAAAACAAAGUCGCUGUACAUUUGGGGGCUGUGACACCCACACACGCAAUUAUGGAGCUUGAAGAAGUUUUUAGUAUAUCACCAUAUUUAUAAACGUCAGACAUGAGGCAUUUGUUCAUGUGGAAACUAGUGGAAGAAUUAAAAUAUUUAUAUAUUUUUUAACUUAUUCUGGUAUGAUAUACUGAUGUAGUUAACAUUGAAUUUGUAUCAAUUCUAUGCUGCUGCG